RNAcentral lists this ribosomal RNA (492 nucleotides) under uncultured bacterium. Its description in RNAcentral is "partial 16S ribosomal RNA". It matches the Rfam family "Bacterial small subunit ribosomal RNA", at positions 29 to 507 of the family's 1533-position model. The record is from RNAcentral.
AGUGAACGCUGGCGGUAGGCCUAACACAUGCAAGUCGAACGGCAGCACAGUAAGAGCUUGCUCUUACGGGUGGCGAGUGGCGGACGGGUGAGGAAUACAUCGGAAUCUACUUUUUCGUGGGGGAUAACGUAGGGAAACUUACGCUAAUACCGCAUACGACCUACGGGUGAAAGCAGGGGAUCUUCGGACCUUGCGCGAUUGAAUGAGCCGAUGUCGGAUUAGCUAGUUGGCGGGGUAAAGGCCCACCAAGGCGACGAUCCGUAGCUGGUCUGAGAGGAUGGAUCGGCACACUGGAACUUGAGAAACGGUCCAGACCCCAACGGAAGGCAGAGUGGGGAAUAUUGGACAAUGGGCGCAAGCCUGAUCCAGCCAUACCGCGUGGGUGAAGAAGGCCUUCGGGUUGUAAAGCCCUUUUGUUGGGAAAGAAAAGCAGCAGGUUAAUACCCCGCUGUUCUGACGGUACCCAAAGAAUAAGCACCGGCUAACUUCGUG